This 453-nucleotide ribosomal RNA is filed under the name uncultured bacterium. RNAcentral describes it as "bacterial SSU rRNA". It matches the Rfam family "Bacterial small subunit ribosomal RNA", at positions 340 to 786 of the family's 1533-position model. The record is from RNAcentral.
UACGGAAGGCAGCAGGGGGAAUAUUGCACAAUGGGCGCAAGCCUGAUGCAGCCAUGCCGCGUGUAUGAAAAAGGCCUUCGGGUUGUAAAGUACUUUCAGUCGUGAGGAAGGUGUUAAGGUUAAUAACCUUAGCAAUUGACGUUAGCGACAGAAGAAGCACCGGCUAACUCCGUGCCAGCAGCCGCGGUAAUACGGAGGGUGCGAGCGUUAAUCGGAAUUACUGGGCGUAAAGGGCACGCAGGCGGUUAAUUAAGUUGGAUGUGAAAUCCCCGGGCUUAACCUGGGAAUGGCAUUCAAGCUGGUUAGCUAGAGUCUUGUAGAGGGGGUAGAAUUCCAUGUGUAGCGGUGAAAUGCGUAGAGAUGUGGAGGAAUACCGGUGGCGAAGGCGGCCCCUGGACAAAGACUGACGCUCAUGUGCGAAAGCGUGGGGAGCAAACGAGGGAUUAGGAUACC